GUGCCAGCCGCUGCGGUAAUACGAAGGGUGCAAGCGUUACUCGGAAUUACUGGGCGUAAAGCGUGCGUAGGUGGUGGUUUAAGUCUGCUGUGAAAGCCCUGGGCUCAACCUGGGAAUUGCAGUGGAUACUGGGUCACUAGAGUGCGGUAGAGGGGUGUGGAAUUUCCGGUGUAGCAGUGAAAUGCGUAGAGAUCGGAAGGAACAUCUGUGGCGAAGGCGACACCCUGGGCCAGCACUGACACUGAGGCACGAAAGCGUGGGAGCAAACAGGAUAGAUACCCUGGUAGUCCACGCCCUAAACGAUGCGAACUGGAUGUUGGUCAACUUGGAACCCAGUAUCGAAGCUAACGCGUUAAGUUCG
RNAcentral lists this ribosomal RNA (361 nucleotides) under uncultured Pseudoxanthomonas sp. RNAcentral describes it as "bacterial SSU rRNA". It matches the Rfam family "Bacterial small subunit ribosomal RNA", at positions 505 to 868 of the family's 1533-position model. Lineage: Bacteria; Pseudomonadati; Pseudomonadota; Gammaproteobacteria; Lysobacterales; Lysobacteraceae. The record is from RNAcentral.